RNAcentral lists this ribosomal RNA (464 nucleotides) under Vreelandella stevensii. RNAcentral's name for it is "partial 16S ribosomal RNA". It matches the Rfam family "Bacterial small subunit ribosomal RNA", at positions 338 to 795 of the family's 1533-position model. Lineage: Bacteria; Pseudomonadati; Pseudomonadota; Gammaproteobacteria; Oceanospirillales; Halomonadaceae. The record is from RNAcentral.
CCUACGGGGGCAGCAGUGGGGAAUAUUGGACAAUGGGCGAAAGCCUGAUCCAGCCAUGCCGCGUGUGUGAAGAAGGCCUUCGGGUUGUAAAGCACUUUCAGUGGGGAAGAAAGCCUUGGGGCUAAUACCCUCGAGGAAGGACAUCACCCACAGAAGAAGCACCGGCUAACUCCGUGCCAGCAGCCGCGGUAAUACGGAGGGUGCGAGCGUUAAUCGGAAUUACUGGGCGUAAAGCGCGCGUAGGCGGUCUGAUAAGCCGGUUGUGAAAGCCCCGGGCUCAACCUGGGAACGGCAUCCGGAACUGUCAGGCUAGAGUGCAGGAGAGGAAGGUAGAAGUCCCGGUGUAGCGGUGAAAUGCGUAGAGAUCGGGAGGAAUACCAGUGGCGAAGGCGGCCUUCUGGACUGACACUGACGCUGAGGUGCGAAAGCGUGGGUAGCAAACAGGAUUAGAUACCCGUGUAGUC